This 116-nucleotide ribosomal RNA is filed under the name Amycolatopsis sp. CA-230715. The record is from RNAcentral. Lineage: Bacteria; Bacillati; Actinomycetota; Actinomycetes; Pseudonocardiales; Pseudonocardiaceae.
CGGUGGUCACAGCACCAGGGAAACGCCCGGUCCCAUCCCGAACCCGGAAGCUAAGCCUGGUAGCGCCGAUGGUACUGCAGCCGAAGGGCUGUGGGAGAGUAGGACGCCGCCGAACA